CAACAACAACAACAUCAACAACAACAACAAUCACAACAACAACAACGACGACGACGACGACAACAAUGACAACCACGACAACAAUGAGAACAAUGACAACAACGACAACUACGGUUACAACAACAACAACAAUGACGAGGAUAACAUCGACAACAAUUACAAAAGAGACACCAACGAAAACAACAAAAACAACAAUGACGAUGACAAUGCCGACAAC
RNAcentral lists this long non-coding RNA (217 nucleotides) under Hordeum vulgare. Its description in RNAcentral is "long non-coding RNA (HVUL_LNC019042)". The record is from RNAcentral. Lineage: Eukaryota; Viridiplantae; Streptophyta; Magnoliopsida; Poales; Poaceae.